GCCCUAGUUGCCAACAUCAGAAAGUGUAGCAGUUGUCCGCCGUCUACAGCUUCAGAACUCCCAUGGAAAGGGCUGAGACCUAGACUUCACAUGCAGAAGGCCCUAGCAUUAUCAAAUUCCUAGCAUUAUCAAAAACAAACAGUGGACAGCCAUCUCCAAACACCCCUAUCAUGCUGCUGUGGCCCACCCAGAAGGCCUCACCAAGCCUAGUCAUUCCCUUGCUGUCCUCCAUGGCCAGGCAGUAUGCACAUUUGCCCUACAGCUCUCACAAGGCAGCUAGAGUGAGAAGUCACCCUAUUGACAAGACCCUGCAGCCAGAAUUAGGCUAAGAGCUCAGAGGGCUGGACCUCACCGUAAGCGCUGCUAACUUCGGGCUGCUUAGUUCCUUAGUAUGGAUGAACCCUUGCUGUGGGAGCUGCAGCCUGGGUACCUCUGCCCUCCUCCAGAGCUGCUCAUGUCCUGCUCGCAGGCCAUCAAACCCAUCACCCUCUUGCAAUUGGUGAUCUAAUCCAGGCCUCUCUCCACCUGUGGACAGGAAGACUCUGGCAGGCCGGGGAACUUGGGAAGCCAGAGACGCUGAGGCGGGAGGAAGGACUGACUGGAGGCACUCAUCCGCCACUGUCCACUGUGCCCACCUGACCCCAGCAAGCAGCAAGCAGUUUCCCCACAGGCUAAGAACCACACCUGGUUCACAUAUAUGAUGAGGCUAGACCACAGCACUAUGGGCAGACCUGGAAUGGAGGACAGUGAAAGAGUGGGCAUCCCCACCCCCCAGUACCAAGAAAAGGAAGAGAAUUUUCAUGGUAAAUCCCUGGAGGGAGCCAGCCAAGCAGGAACUUGCCUGAGGCAAAGUAAUAAAUUGAUCCAGAAUAAUCUGCAAGGUGGGUACCUUUAUAGCCUGUUUGGUGGUUCACACCAUUCCAUGAGCUUGAGGUCAGCUUGGGGCUACAGAAGAUCUCUCUACAUGAACAGAACAGACUCGUGAGAUUCAUAGGCAGAUUUACAAGGCGCAGCAGUUGGCUCUAGCUACGGCAGAGAUCAUCUCCAAUGUCAUCUCCAGUGGAAAAAAGACUAAUAAAAACUACCUGAGCCUAGGACAAGGAGCUCUCAUACCAAUCCUGCUGAUUUACACCAAGCCCACAGCCAAUUGUUCUAGAAGUUUCACCUCAAUAAGGAGGUGGAAGGGGUUCUCUUUCUUGCUAGAUAUUCCUCCAGUUGUAAUCCUGUCCACCGUGCCUUGGGUCUUCCCUGUGACAUUAACUGACCAUGUGACAAUGAGGAGGACCUGACCUUUUCUCAGCAUGUCUUUUUUUUUUAGGAUUGUUAACCUGCAUGUAUAUUAAGUUCACCUAGUUUAUACAAUGCCCAGAGGGCAGAAGAGGGUGUUGGAGCCCUGAGAGCUGGUGUUACUGAUGGGUUAGACACAAGUGGGUGUUGGAAGUUGAACCUGGACCUUCAGGUAGAGCUCUUGACCUCUGACCCAUCUUUUUUUUUUUUUUUUUGGUUUUUUGAGACAGGGUUUC
Molecule: long non-coding RNA, 1523 nt
Organism: Mesocricetus auratus (golden hamster)
Lineage: Eukaryota; Metazoa; Chordata; Mammalia; Rodentia; Cricetidae
Exons: 3
Source: RefSeq, a predicted model, not a curated record